Hibiscus syriacus is the source of this 354-nucleotide long non-coding RNA. RefSeq lists it as uncharacterized. The record is from RefSeq and is a predicted model, not a curated record. The transcript is spliced from 3 exons. NCBI's taxonomy places the organism in Eukaryota, Viridiplantae, Streptophyta, Magnoliopsida, Malvales, Malvaceae.
UUGAACUUAGAUUUUCUUAAUUGAUUUAUUUACUAGGCUUUGAUUGGUAGUUUUGUUUUCAUUUUGCCAUACUUGGUAUGAUGUAUUUGUUCUAAUAGCUAGUCUCUUUUGAAGGAUGGGAAAUAUCGUGAAGCACUUGGGAAGUGGGAGGCGGCUCUUUAUUUGAUGCCUGAAAAUGCAGUUUUGUUUGAACAGAAGGCACAAGUUCUACUUGAACUUGGGGAUGCAUGGAGUGCAUUGAAGGCAGCGUCUUGGGCAACUGAAUUGGAACCAUCAUGGGCCGAGGCAUGGGUCACUCUUGGUAGAGCAAAAUUAAACUUUGGAGAGCCUGAUAAUGCCAUUGAGAGUUUUGAC